UGCCGCGUGGUGCAAUUGGUAGCACACCACACUCUGAAUGUGGGUGUUCUAGGUUCGAGUCCUAGCGCGGCAGCCA
Molecule: transfer RNA, 76 nt
Filed under: Verrucomicrobia subdivision 6 bacterium BACL9 MAG-120507-bin52
Lineage: Bacteria; Pseudomonadati; Verrucomicrobiota; Verrucomicrobiia; Verrucomicrobiales; Verrucomicrobia subdivision 6
Also listed under: 7 other names
Description: tRNA-Gln
Rfam family: tRNA
About the family: Transfer RNA (tRNA) molecules are approximately 80 nucleotides in length.
Source: RNAcentral